UCCGUGCUGGCUCUCAGGGGAUUCAAAUCGGCCCUUAAUGCGGGGUAGCUCCUAACGUGGGCGCAGCUGAGCAGGGCACGGCGAUGGAGCAGCUUACGCUUAAUGCUGCUGCAGACCUCAGCCUUAAGGAACAGGUAGGCACGGCUUAGCUCAGCAUCGUUUCAAAUGCCAGGUUCAAAACAUGUUCAACUCCACCGAGUCGUGGGCAGCGGGGCUCUCCUUUGUCAGAGAUUCGUACUGAAGACAAACAUUGGUGGCAAUUGUGUCUAAAAAUACCUCCGAACCUGCUUCUUGGGGGCGAGCGCAGACGCCAGGCGCCUGACCAUGGCCGUAAAUUGCUGUCGGUGACACAGCUCGGGCGUAUUUAGGGGACCCAGCUUUGCCCUUUCCUUGACAGGACAGCGGCUCGCCCUGGGGUUCGUCUGCUCGUGUCACUGUCAUCUGUCAUGACACACUCGCGCGGGACCCAGCUGCUUACGCUGGGAAAGAAGAAAUGUGAAAAUAAUUGGUUGAUGCUUAUGUGGCUCCUUAGGCUACACCUGCACAGCCCUUUUCGGGGCUCUCUAUUUGAAGAAUCAUUAACCUUACAUAUACAUACUGCCCUGUAUCUUAGAUAAUGUGCCCUUCUGCCGUUAACCUUUACAUAAUGCAAGUGGGAAAAAAAGCCUCAUCACUACUGAGCGCGUCCGAGUGCAGCCUGGCUGCAGUUUAACGAUGAUACUGAAAGCGUCGUCAUGUUUUGGUAUACUCCUUUCUGAGGUGAGAUUGAUCCUCCU
This 776-nucleotide long non-coding RNA is filed under the name Gallus gallus (chicken). RNAcentral describes it as "long non-coding RNA NONGGAT000973". Lineage: Eukaryota; Metazoa; Chordata; Aves; Galliformes; Phasianidae. The record is from RNAcentral.